Oncorhynchus tshawytscha (Chinook salmon) is the source of this 419-nucleotide long non-coding RNA. Lineage: Eukaryota; Metazoa; Chordata; Actinopteri; Salmoniformes; Salmonidae. The record is from Ensembl.
UGUAACCAUUGGGGUUUAGGCAGUAGUGUGGGUGGUGUUGUGUCCAUGUGUAACCAUUGGGGUUUAGGCAGUAGUGUGUGUGUGUUGUGUCCAUGUGUAACCAUUGGGGUUUAGGCAGUAUAGUGUGUGUGUGUUGUGUCCAUGUGUAACCAUUGGGGUUUAGGCAGUAGUGUGGGUGGUGUUGUGUCCAUGUGUAACCAUUGGGGUUUAGGCAGUAGUGUGUGUGUGUGUUGUGGAGCAUUAGUGUGUGUGUGUGUGUGUGUGUGUGUGUGUGUGGUGUGGAGCAUUAGUGUGUGUGUGUGGUGUGGAGCAAUAGUGUGUGUGUGUGUGUGGUGUGGAGCAUUAGUGUGUGUGUGUGGUGUGGAGCAAUAGUGUGUGUGUGUUGUGUCCAUGUGUAACCAUUAGGUGUUUAAGCAGUA